AUUGCACGUUAACACAAAACAACAACACCCUUCUUCAUCUUCAUCACUCUUUCUUGUUCUGAGCUACCCCAUUAACUGAAAAUGUGUUUUUUGAGCUUCGGUGAUGUUGCCGGAACUCUCAAACUUCCGGUGAGUUGGAAGGAGGAGAAUAUAGUUGAGCUUCUCAGCUUCGUUUGACUUGUCCCAGAUUUGCAUGAUUGUGUCAUUAAUGUUACUUCGCUGUUCUUCAGCUUAGCCACAUCAAAAUCUACA
Molecule: non-coding RNA, 252 nt
Organism: Arachis ipaensis
Lineage: Eukaryota; Viridiplantae; Streptophyta; Magnoliopsida; Fabales; Fabaceae
Source: RefSeq, a predicted model, not a curated record